CUACGGGUGGCUCCAGUGGGGAAUAUUGCACAAUGGAGGAAACUCUGAUGCAGCAACGCCGCGUGGAGGAUGACACUUUUCGGAGCGUAAACUCCUUUUAUAUAGGAAGAAGAUGACGGUACUCUAUGAAUAAGCGCCGGCUAACUCCGUGCCAGCAGCCGCGGUAAUACGGAGGGCACAAGCGUUACUCGGAAUCACUGGGCGUAAAGAGCGUGUAGGCGGAUUAAAAAGUCAGAAGUGAAAUCCUAUAGCUUAACUAUAGAACUGCUUCUGAAACUCUUAAUCUAGAAUAUGGGAGAGGUAGAUGGAAUUUCUGGUGUAGGGGUAAAAUCCGUAGAGAUCAGAAGGAAUACCGAUUGCGAAGGCGAUCUACUAGAACAUUAUUGACGCUGAGACGCGAAAGCGUGGGGAGCAAACAGGAUUAGAUACCCGAGUAGUC
This 439-nucleotide ribosomal RNA is filed under the name uncultured bacterium. Its description in RNAcentral is "partial 16S ribosomal RNA". It matches the Rfam family "Bacterial small subunit ribosomal RNA", at positions 339 to 795 of the family's 1533-position model. The record is from RNAcentral.